This is a long non-coding RNA of Myxocyprinus asiaticus (Chinese sucker), 1847 nucleotides long. RefSeq lists it as uncharacterized. The transcript is spliced from 5 exons. The record is from RefSeq and is a predicted model, not a curated record. Lineage: Eukaryota; Metazoa; Chordata; Actinopteri; Cypriniformes; Catostomidae.
GUGUGAAACUUGAGUUUGACUUUAGACACUUUGAAGUUUAAUGUCUCAUUUUUCUGCUCUCACAGAAUGUUGUGAAAGUUCUUUGAAGUUUUAAUCGUGUCUGAAUAUGUUUUAUACUGAAUUUUUCAGCUGAUCUUAAAGGAAGUGGACUCUGUGCUGUAUGUGGACACAGACAUGUUGUUCCUGCGGCCGGUGGAGGACAUCUGGAAGUUUCUCUCGGGGUUUAACAGCAGUCACAGGGCUGCUAUGGAGCAUGAGGAGCUGUGGUUGGUAUAACCGCUUUGCACAACACCAGUAUUACAGCAAGACUGGAGUGAACUCAUGAACAUGACACGAACACUUCAAGGACUCCACAGAAAGCUCUGCGGGUUUCUUCAUCAUUCAGAAAGCCAUACGAGUGCGGUCGAGUUAAGGUUGAAUUCCGAUGCUCCAUACAAAUGAGGUUACUGGACUGCAACAACACUUUCAGAAGUUUCCAGACUGAUACAAUAUGCAGAGGAUGAACUAGUCAAUGUAUUUGACAAAGUUUACCAGAGCUUUAAACAGCAUCUGGGUUUGUAACGACAUGAGGCUCCUCCAAGAACUCACUGUGUUCAUCGUCCAGCCACGGCUCCUCCUGAAACAACACAACCGUGACGGUAUCUCGUGAACAAAAUGACUGACGAACAUGUUCAUUGACAAAGUUUUUAUUUUCAUUUUGUUAAUUAUAACGAAGAUGUUACCAAACAUAAGCAUCAGGACCAUAAUGAAACUAUUUUAAUUGAUUUAAUUACAUGUUUUAAUAUGCAUUUACGGUACAUAACGAAAAUGAUACAUUCUGAAAAAAGCUGCAGAAACUGUAUAAAAGUAGAGAUUGAUAUGAGUUCUUUGUGUAUUGUUAUUAAUAAACAUACUAUCAUUAAUGACUAACAUCAAUAAUAAAUGUCUUCAUUGACUUGAACUUCACUAUAGCAACAGUAAUGACAGCAUAAAUGCAAUAUUACACAGACAAUGAAACAAAUGCAUGUAAAGGUGAACUAAGUUACACGCUAGCAGGAAUCUGUAACUUGCAUUGUGAAUACAUGUACUCUGUUUUCUAUAAAAACAAGGAAAACAGAAAUUUACUAACAUUUUAAAUUGAAAGUAGCUAAUAAUUCUGUAUAUUCAUUUCACGCUAUUAUUGAAGGAGCUCAGGUGCUUGAAUGAAUGUUUAUAUAUUUUUUUUAAAUGUUUCAAUAUUUGAUUUAAAGUUUGGUGUUACAGUUUGAUAUGCGUUUUUGUCAUUUUGCACAUUAUCAUCAACUAACAUAUGUUAUGUUAUGACUAAAACUGGCUAAAAUGAAUGACUAUGACAUGACAAAAUUCUGACUAAUUGUAAGGACAUUUUCAUCAGAAGACUAAAACUAUGACUAUAAAAAUGAGCACUGGGUGCAACAGAACCAUUACUGUAAAACUGUAUCUUUAAAGGAAUAAGUUAAAUAAAAUAAUUCUCUUUACAGUACUGCGGAAAAAUCUCAUCCAUUCAGAGGACUCGAUCUGUGUUGUAAUACACCAAACACAUGACCUCUUGACCUCUUUAACAUCUCACACUCAAAUGAAACAUCAUCCAUUUUUAUGGAAGUAAAUUUACGGUCAGCGAGUAUUUAAUUACAGCAAUCAGGAGAGGGUUGGAUAAUGUUCUCACAAGCUGCUCUGGAUUGCGAUGGUUUUUUCUCACAUGACCUAAGAACUGACCCUGCACUAUAUUAGCAUGCUAUUAGUUUUUAUGGCUUAUAGUUGGAAGUCAAUUACACCAACAUCACCCGUGUUGAGGGGAAUGUGCUGAGCAUCAGUGUGGAUUAUUUGUGAUCUGCAUCUUUAAAACAGAU